AGUCGAGCGGCAGCACGGGAAGCUUGCUUCCUGGUGGCGAGCGGCGGACGGGUGAGUAAUGCAUAGAAAUCUGCCCGGUAGUGGGGGAUAACCUGGGGAAACCCAGGCUAAUACCGCAUACGUCCUACGGGAGAAAGCAGGGGAUCUUCGGACCUCGCGCUAUCGGAUGAGUCUAUGUCGGAUUAGCUUGUUGGUGAGGUAAUGGCUCACCAAGGCGACGAUCCGUAGCUGGUCUGAGAGGAUGAUCAGCCACAUCGGGACUGAGACACGGCCCGAACUCCUACGGGAGGCAGCAGUGGGGAAUAUUGGACAAUGGGCGAAAGCCUGAUCCAGCCAUGCCGCGUGUGUGAAGAAGGCCUUCGGGUUGUAAAGCACUUUCAGUGGGGAAGAAAGCCUUGGGGCUAAUACCCUCGAGGAAGGACAUCACCCACAGAAGAAGCACCGGCUAACUCCGUGCCAGCAGCCGCGGUAAUACGGAGGGUGCGAGCGUUAAUCGGAAUUACUGGGCGUAAAGCGCGCGUAGGCGGUCUGAUAAGCCGGUUGUGAAAGCCCCGGGCUCAACCUGGGAACGGCAUCCGGAACUGUCAGGCUAGAGUGCAGGAGAGGAAGGUAGAAUUCCCGGUGUAGCGGUGAAAUGCGUAGAGAUCGGGAGGAAUACCAGUGGCGAAGGCGGCCUUCUGGACUGACACUGACGCUGAGGUGCGAAAGCGUGGGUAGCAAACAGGAUUAGAUACCCUGGUAGUCCACGCCGUAAACGAUGUCGACUAGCCGUUGGGGUCCUUGAGACCUUUGUGGCGCAGUUAACGCGAUAAGUCGACCGCCUGGGGAGUACGGCCGCAAGGUUAAAACUCAAAUGAAUUGACGGGGGCCCGCACAAGCGGUGGAGCAUGUGGUUUAAUUCGAUGCAACGCGAAGAACCUUACCUACCCUUGACAUCGUGCGAACUUUCCAGAGAUGGAUUGUGCCUUCG
Molecule: ribosomal RNA, 970 nt
Filed under: Halomonas nitritophilus
Lineage: Bacteria; Pseudomonadati; Pseudomonadota; Gammaproteobacteria; Oceanospirillales; Halomonadaceae
Description: bacterial SSU rRNA
Rfam family: Bacterial small subunit ribosomal RNA
Source: RNAcentral